UCCCCGAUAGCCCACCGGUUGAGAUCUCGACUGUUCAUCGGGCGGCCGUUGGUUCGAAUCCAACUCGGGGAGCCA
This 75-nucleotide transfer RNA is filed under the name Mesorhizobium temperatum. RNAcentral's name for it is "tRNA-Asn". It matches the Rfam family "tRNA". Rfam says of the family: Transfer RNA (tRNA) molecules are approximately 80 nucleotides in length. Their secondary structure includes four short double-helical elements and three loops (D, anti-codon, and T loops). Lineage: Bacteria; Pseudomonadati; Pseudomonadota; Alphaproteobacteria; Hyphomicrobiales; Phyllobacteriaceae. The record is from RNAcentral.